GAAAUGACAGAGGCAAGAGGAAGGACGAGACAAACAGACGACGAUGCGUCAAUGCGAGACGUCGGCCGGGUUCUCGCGAAAGGAACAAUCGCGACGAUUGCGAAAGAUGAGAAGUCCAAUAGAGACUCGACGACCGUUGAGCCUGUGACGGAACAGGUGAAAGAGAAAACCUUCGUGACCUUGCAGGAGAACAGUCGAGAGAAGAAUACUGCAAAAGACGAAGACACAUCGUUGAUUGAUAAAGAGAGAAUCGAAAAGGAAGUAGAAGAAUUAGUCGAGGAAGCGAAAUAUAACGUCUACUUUAGUGGAGUGAACAGAGGAAGAGGAGGAGGCGAAGGUCAAACCAAAAUUUGGAGACAGUUUGCGUGCACAUCGGAACAGGGAAACAUGGCGAAGGUCAAACAGUCGCCGGGACCUUCAGUUUCCACACAACUGAACACCACGCGCAUCACAUCGCCGACCGGUAGAGCGAGAUCUAAAACGUUCCCCCAUUUGAAGUUGAACAAAGUGGACCCUGUUGAGGCAAUGACUAUAAGUAUAUCUGAAGAGGAUCAUGUCAGUGGAAGACCAAGGCACGAAAUAUCACACGAAACAACGCACGUUAAUCGAACUGCUAGAGGAGUAUGAGACGUUCACGUUGUUAAAUGAUCAAGUUCUGGAAAAUCGCAAUUCCAACAUCUUUGCCAUAUCUGUUCGUAUUUCAGGACGAAUUCACUGAAUUGUCGAGCCCUGUGGAUCGUCAAAUGACAGAUGCUUGCCCCUCUUGCGAGCGACAGAAGGAUCUCACACCCACCUCAGAUAAUUAUAGAUAUUAUACUGUUUAUAUGGACAAAAGGAGAUACUUGUGCGAAUUGUGUGCACCGUUAAGUUGUAAAAAGGUAAUGGCGCAAACUCGUCCAACGCGAAUAUGCUUGUUUACUGAAGGAAAAAAGAAAUUAUCAUCCCAUACGUUCGGUUAAAAAAUUCGUUCUGUAAUUGCGCAGAGCUCAUCAAUGAUACAUCGGAAAUCUCUUAAAUUCGCCGUUGAAAACAAUUUUCGUUAAUUUAAAAAAUCAAUUUGCUGACAGAAAAAUAUUUUUGUGCACUUUAGGUGACACGCAAGAUUAACGUCGCAAAGGGACUGCGGUGUAGUAAUUGUGGAGUCUCUCUUCAAGUCGUUGAUGUAAGUUGAAACAGUGACCCAGUAAUGAUCAUCGAAAUUAGGUUUCCUGGAUACUUGCUGCGUUCAUCUUGAUUUAUGACGUUAGAAGCGAGAAAAUACAUGCUCAAAAUCCCGCCUAAUGCGUUAAAAUAAAAGAAUGACGUUCCAAAAAAUGAUACUUGCAGUCAAUUAGUUGCAAAAAGGGCAAAUAUUUCAUUUAACGGAACGAGAUACGAGAUUGACUCUGACGUGCGUUGUCAAAGUCAUCACUCUGAACAACACUC
Molecule: unclassified non-coding RNA, 1425 nt
Filed under: Harpegnathos saltator (Jerdon's jumping ant)
Lineage: Eukaryota; Metazoa; Arthropoda; Insecta; Hymenoptera; Formicidae
Description: uncharacterized LOC112589449, transcript variant X1
Source: RNAcentral